ACCGGUCUUUGUCUCGGGGUAA
This 22-nucleotide microRNA is filed under the name Eisenia fetida (common brandling worm). Its description in RNAcentral is "Efe-Mir-10-P3i_3p* (star (passenger))". Lineage: Eukaryota; Metazoa; Annelida; Clitellata; Crassiclitellata; Lumbricidae. The record is from RNAcentral.